CCUACGGGAGGCAGCAGUGAGGAAUAUUGGUCAAUGGGCGAGAGUCUGAACCAGCCAAGUAGCGUGAAGGAUGACUGCCCUAUGGGUUGUAAACUUCUUUUAUAUGGGAAUAAAACGUUCCACGUGUGGGAUUUUGUAUGUACCAUAUGAAUAAGGAUCGGCUAACUCCGUGCCAGCAGCCGCGGUAAUACGGAGGAUCCGAGCGUUAUCCGGAUUUAUUGGGUUUAAAGGGAGCGUAGGUGGAUUGUUAAGUCAGUUGUGAAAGUUUGCGGCUCAACCGUAAAAUUGCAGUUGAAACUGGCAGUCUUGAGUACAGUAGAGGUGGGCGGAAUUCGUGGUGUAGCGGUGAAAUGCUUAGAUAUCACGAAGAACGCCGAUUGCGAAGGCAGUUCACUGGACUGCAACUGACACUGAGGCUCGAAAGUGUGGGUAUCAAACAGGAUUAGAUACCCGGGUAGUC
This 460-nucleotide ribosomal RNA is filed under the name uncultured bacterium. RNAcentral describes it as "partial 16S ribosomal RNA". It matches the Rfam family "Bacterial small subunit ribosomal RNA", at positions 338 to 795 of the family's 1533-position model. The record is from RNAcentral.